Molecule: long non-coding RNA, 1222 nt
Filed under: Equus caballus (horse)
Lineage: Eukaryota; Metazoa; Chordata; Mammalia; Perissodactyla; Equidae
Description: lncRNA (ENSECAG00000030842.3)
Source: RNAcentral
AAAAUGUUUAUUUUUCUGGCUUGAGAGAUUUCUCGAAGGCCAUGUCCCUGCUGCAUUCAGUUGUGAAAGAUGAGCAGCAGCCUCCAGGCAUAGCAGGUAUUAUUGGAGAGACGCCCUUUUGUAUGCGAGCUGCAAAGACUCAUGGGUUGAUAGAAGAGUUGCGUAAUUGUUCAGUAUUUAAUUCUCCCUGGAAUGGCUCAAAGAGGGAGCUAUGUGUGAACUGAACUUGUGGAUAAAUAAGCCUGGCACAGAGCUCCACACCAUCUGCAGACAUUGCAGAAAUGAGCAGGGGAAGCCAACGAGCUGUGAGUGACAGAGAUUAAUCUUCAAAGUCACAAAGGCAUGUAGUUCCGUUUGGAAUUCAGGCAACACUGGAGAGCGUCACAGCCUCGGAACAUUUCUUUGAGGCAAUGAAGACAUUUAUCAGCCAUAAAUCUCAGGUGACUUUGUGUCCUGGAAUCCUUCAUAGGGUGGAAUCAAAAAGAACCCAGAAGAAAAACACUGCCUUUUAAAAGACCUGAUAAUCUAUCGAGGGAAGUGCACAAGAACAAAUACCUUGUACAUCAGAAGAAGUGCUGUAAAGUGGAUUGAACAAAGCACCACGAACAUGUGGAAUUUGCCCCCUUUUCCAAGUUGAUAGAGAAGAUUGACUACUCAUUUUAGUUUCUGAUGCACAUUCUUCUGAAAGUAAACAAGCGUAGUCUGCUUAGACUGUGGUUACUAUUAUUACUUGUCAUCUUCAGAUAUGGGCAGGACAUUCUGAAUAGAUGAUGUUAUGGAAGGCAAGAAGAUUUUCCUAUGCUCCUACACAAUGUGGCUAAGAGUGUGGGAAAAUGGGCACUCAUAUUUUGUGGGUGGUGGGUGUAUCAGAGGAUGUCAGUAGAAGCAAUUUGGUAAUAUGCCCCCGUGAAGGCUUUCUGCAUCUUGAUUGCUACUGAAUCCUUAAUGCCUAAAAUUCUACUGGAAUAAAUGCAUAAAUUAAUAAAUGCAAAAAUCCUUAAAAUUUUGCAUAGGCUUUGAUGCACAAAUUUUAAUGAUAAGAGUUAGAAAUCAAAUAAACCUAGUAUUAAGAUUUAGCUGUAAGAGUAUUAUCUUAUUAUUUGUAAUACUAAAAGCUCAAAAUGGCUCAUUUGGGUUUAUCAGUAUGAUUGAGCAAAAAUUGCAUAGCAUCCCUACUAUGGAGUAUUAGGCAACCACGAGUGAUGAUGUCGUGCAAGAAUAU